UACGAAGGGGGCUAGCGUUGUUCGGAAUCACUGGGCGUAAAGCGCACGCAGGCGGAUCGUUAAGUCAGGGGUGAAAUCCCGAGGCUCAACCUCGGAACUGCCUUUGAUACUGGCGAUCUUGAGUCCGGGAGAGGUGAGUGGAACUCCGAGUGUAGAGGUGAAAUUCGUAGAUAUUCGGAAGAACACCAGUGGCGAAGGCGGCUCACUGGCCCGGUACUGACGCUCAGGUGCGAAAGCGUGGG
This 242-nucleotide ribosomal RNA is filed under the name uncultured bacterium. Its description in RNAcentral is "partial 16S ribosomal RNA". It matches the Rfam family "Bacterial small subunit ribosomal RNA", at positions 524 to 765 of the family's 1533-position model. The record is from RNAcentral.